UCAAACAUAUCAAAUGUCACUUUGGUCGAUUUCUUUUCUACAGUACCACUUGUUUGCUCCCUUCCUUCUCUGUAAAAUUCUCAAUGUCCUCUCCGAUAGAAAACCUCAAAUCUCUCAAAUCAUAAAAUGUGAACCAUAUGGUAGAGCUAUAAAAGCCCUAAUUACAAAUUGUGACUCUAUCAGAGGAACCGACAGUCGUCUAAAGCUAAAGAAGGAAGGAAGAAAGUUUGAAGUUUGAAAAUCAUUGCGAGGACUCAAAUUGGAAGAAGAGCGUGAACAAAUGGCUGAGGAGUUACAAAGGAAUAUACAACAUAGUGCAAAGGAAAUUGGAAAAAGAGUUGCAGAAGAAGUUGGAGGCUGAGCAUGAACACGUGAAUGCAGAAGUAGAUAAGAGGAUCUAAGAACAAUUGGCUACUAUCAUAACCAAAAUGCAACAUGUACUGUUAAUAUUUUGUACUCUUCUUGACAAUUGGCUACUAUCUAAGAACAAUUGGCUUCAUGAAUCUAUUUGUUUGAAAUAUAUGUAAUGCUAACAUGAGGUGAUAUGUUACUAGAAUUAUAUGUAGUUUCUCUCUCUGAUUUUGAGGCAUAUCUUAUAUGUAGCUUAUCUUUAAUUUUGAGGCAUCUCAUAUAAAGACAUCUCUUAUA
This is a long non-coding RNA of Nicotiana tabacum (common tobacco), 648 nucleotides long. RefSeq lists it as uncharacterized. The record is from RefSeq and is a predicted model, not a curated record. Lineage: Eukaryota; Viridiplantae; Streptophyta; Magnoliopsida; Solanales; Solanaceae.